RNAcentral lists this ribosomal RNA (404 nucleotides) under uncultured bacterium. Its description in RNAcentral is "bacterial SSU rRNA". It matches the Rfam family "Bacterial small subunit ribosomal RNA", at positions 355 to 776 of the family's 1533-position model. The record is from RNAcentral.
UGGGGAAUCUUGCACAAUGGAGGAAACUCUGAUGCAGCGACGCCGCGUGAGCGAUGAAGCCCUUCGGGGUGUAAAGCUCUUUCGACGGGAACGAUAAUGACGGUACCCGGAGAAGAAGCUGCGGCUAACUACGUGCCAGCAGCCGCGGUAAUACGUAGGCAGCAAGCGUUGUUCGGAAUUACUGGGCGUAAAGAGUGUGUAGGUGGUGCUCCAAGUCUGUUGUGAAAUCUCCCGGCUUAACCGGGAGGGUGCGGCGGAAACUGGAAUGCUUGAGGAUGGGAGAGGAAAGCGGAAUUCCUGGUGUAGCGGUGAAAUGCGUAGAUAUCAGGAGGAACACCCGUGGUGUAGACAGCUUUCUGGACCAUAUCUGACACUGAGACACGAAAGCGUGGGUAGCAAACAGG